CCUACGGGAGGCAGCAGUGAGGAAUUUUCUGCAAUGGGCGAAAGCCUGACAGAGCAAUACCGCGUGAGGGAUGAAGACUCACUGAGUUGUAAACCUCAGUGCCUUAAAGAAGAAUACAAUGACGGUAUUUAAGGUAAAGCAUCGGCUAACUCCGUGCCAGCAGCCGCGGUAAGACGGGGGAUGCAAGUGUUAUCCGGAAUUACUGGGCGUAAAGCGUCUGUAGGUGGUUUUUUAAGUCUACUGUUAAAUCUUGAGGCUUAACCUCAAAUCUGCAGUAGAAACUAAGAGACUAGAGUUUAGGAGGGGUAGAGGGAAUUUCCAGUGGAGCGGUGAAAUGCGUAGAGAUUGGAAAGAACACCGAUGGCGAAGGCACUCUACUGGCCUAUAACUGACACUCAGAGACGAAAGCUAGGGGAGCAAAUGGGAUUAGAUACCCCAGUAGUCCUAGCCGUAAACGAUGGAUACUCGAUGUGGUACGUAGUACGUACCGUUACGUAGUAUCUUAGUCUACGUACGUUAAGUAUACCGUCCGUCGGGUAGGUACGUCGUCGCGAGAGUAGAACGUACGAAGGAAGUUAAGUACGGUCGUUGAGUACGUUGCCGACGGCGACGACGAGGGAGGAGG
Molecule: ribosomal RNA, 625 nt
Filed under: uncultured bacterium
Lineage: Bacteria
Description: bacterial SSU rRNA
Rfam family: Bacterial small subunit ribosomal RNA (bases 1-530)
Source: RNAcentral